RNAcentral lists this ribosomal RNA (432 nucleotides) under Triticum aestivum (bread wheat). Its description in RNAcentral is "partial small subunit ribosomal RNA". Lineage: Eukaryota; Viridiplantae; Streptophyta; Magnoliopsida; Poales; Poaceae. The record is from RNAcentral.
AUGCAAACGUUGUGGAAACAAGUGUCUCGUAACCGUUGUGGAAUAAUCGAGUCGUACGGAAAGUUUUGUUACCGAACUUCGUUAAUUUUCGAGUCAAAGAAUGAGCGAAAGGCCCUUUAUGAAAAUAGCAGCGGUUUUUCCACAACGGCGAGGGGCAGCGGCGGCAAGAAGUCGAGCGUCGCGGUGCUAGCCUGCGGUCCGGCAGCCACCGUGGCACCGCCGGUGCUGGCGCCCAGCCCCGUUGCCAUGGCAAAGCCAGCCCCCGCCGUGGCGGAGACCACUCCUCUGGCCGCCAUGCCGCCGGCGCCUGCGUCCCCCACGGUGGUGGACCUGGCGGCACCCAGUUCAGCGGCCGUUGCGCCGCAAGAUGCCACGGUGGAGGACCUGGUGGUGACCAGUCCAGCGGCCGCCAUGGCUAGAAUUGGUAGCUAG